This 356-nucleotide ribosomal RNA is filed under the name uncultured bacterium. Its description in RNAcentral is "bacterial SSU rRNA". It matches the Rfam family "Bacterial small subunit ribosomal RNA", at positions 8 to 351 of the family's 1533-position model. The record is from RNAcentral.
AGAGUUUGAUCCUGGCUCAGGAUGAACGCUAGCUACAGGCUUAACACAUGCAAGUCGAGGGGAAACGACAUCGAAAGCUUGCUUUUGAUGGGCGUCGACCGGCGCACGGGUGAGUAACGCGUAUCCAACCUGCCCAUCACUUGGGGAUAACCUUGCGAAAGUAAGACUAAUACCCAAUGACGUCUCUAGAAGACAUCUGAAAGAGAUUAAAGAUUUAUCGGUGAUGGAUGGGGAUGCGUCUGAUUAGCUUGUUGGCGGGGUAACGGCCACCAAGGCGACGAUCAGGUAGGGGUUCUGAGAGGAAGGUCCCCCACAUUGGAACUGAGGACACGGUCCAAACUCCGUACGGGAGGCCA